Molecule: non-coding RNA, 2902 nt
Organism: Callithrix jacchus (white-tufted-ear marmoset)
Lineage: Eukaryota; Metazoa; Chordata; Mammalia; Primates; Cebidae
Source: RefSeq, a predicted model, not a curated record
UGCACAUCUUUCAAACAGUGGCUGGUAUUUUCACCUAACAGUGAGACUGGUGGGAAAUGUCAGCAAUGGUGACUUUGGGGUAUAGUUUCUCCCAGUAAGGAAGGCAAAUUCUACAAAAAGAAUGAAGCACAGCAGACAAAGUGAAGCGCUGGUUUUUACAAGCCUGAGGAAGGCGAGGAAGUCUGUCUGCAAUGUCUGCUGCAUCCAUCUUAGUAGUAGCCACUCCUGGAAAUGAUAUCACUGCUCGAGCCCCCUUGCCCCUGCUUACAGGACAAGGACACCUUGCCGCAACAGGUACCAGUUAACUCAAUGAUUUUUUUACUGCUGGGAAAGUGGAGCAAAAGUUCUGGGCAUUUGGCCAUAUAUGGAGGCUGUUUUGGUUGUCACAACUACAUGGAGGGUACUACUGCAUCCAGUUGGUAGAAGUCAGGAAUGCUAAUAAACAAUGCACAUAACAGCUAUGCACACACAAAAAAUUAUCCAGCCCAAAUUAAAUUUGUUGGCCUUGAUUACCUUUUACCUUCAAAUUAGUUUAGCCCUACUGUUAAUGUAACACACUUUGUGGGGGUCUUUGUGCAAACCCUGUGUAUUCAAUUCAAUCUCACCUCUCUGUUAGGUUGGAACUCAAAUAUCCCUCAACACUGAACUCUGACUGAUUCAUUCUAUUUGGUAGUCAUUCUUUGUCCACCCUUGUGUAGUUUCAGUCAGUGCACAGCUAACUUAGUAUUAUUUCAAGUCUCAAGAAGAUGCUCGGCAGAUUUCUGGAGCUCUUUUCCUUUAGGAUUCUGCCCCACAAAUUCCAUCUGUUCUUCCUCCCCAAAGUAUGAUGCCUUUUUCCUCGAUUCAGCAAGACCAUUAUACUCUGCUUGGGUUGACUCUCCUAAAUUGUAGUCCAGAACAUGGCGAACAGAAGCCCAGAGUGAUCAUGUGGUUCAUCUUGGUUGUUCUUUGUCUCUCAAAGAUGGCAGUCUUGUGCUACACAUCAUGUAAUGUCUGAAAAUAAUUGCUUCCUGUAUUUUGUUCAGUUUUCAUGUUGUUCAUGAAAGAGACCAAUCUGAUAUUAGAUCCUUUAUCAUGGCUACAAGUGGAAAUUUGAGAUGCAUAUUUUGAGAAAACUGAAGAGAUUGACUCAUUUUCUCAUUUUUGUAUGGCCAUAUUGGAGUUGACCUGAAAUAACUUCUUUAAAAUUAAUGUUUUCACAUUAAUAAAUACUCUCAGUGUAACAUCUGGCAAUAGAGCAAUAAAGGCUGAAAUUGAAAAAGUACUGCUGAGGCUAUUAUUACAAAGAAGCAAAAAUACUUUUUAUGUUUUUGAUCCUUAGAGCACUUUUUUUUUUGAGGUGGAGUCUCCCUCCAUCACCCAAGGUGGAGUACAGUAGUGCCGUCUUGGCUCACUGUGAAUUCUGCCUCCCUGGUUUAAGCAAUUCUCUUGCCUCAGUCUCUUGAGUAGCUGGAACUACAGACAUGCAUCACCACACCAAAGUACUUUCCACACUCCCUCUUUUAAAGUCUACUCUGCUUAGUAGGGAGGGGCAGACUACAUUGAUUCAUUCCUUCUCAAAUGUAUGCAGCAAGUUUAAUCAACAAAUAUUGAUUGACUACCUAUUGUGUCUGGGCACUGCUCUGUAUAGUGAACAUCUUUUUGAAAAAGACACAAACAAGCAAGAGGAGAAGAUAAGAAUGAUCCAUGUAGUAAUAAAUUAGAGUUGUAGACAUCAAGAUAAAUUCACAUUUAGCUUGAUAUAGUUGGUUACACUAUAGAAAUGGUUACAAAUAGAUGGUUGCACACAGAAAUAUUUAUAGAUAUGUGUAUACAGACAUGUUAGUAUACACACAUACAUGUCCUUGCUCUGUCAGCUACGGGACCUAAAUGAAAUAACAUUCAUUAGCAGUGAGUACACCUGGCACCUUGAUUUUGGUUUCUAAAUGCCAUUUUCUAGUAUAAGGAACCAGGACUCUAUGGAAAAAUAUCUGAUUCUAGGACAGGGGCCAGAAUAUCUGGAGCAUCUUGUAUUAUCGAAAAGUAAGAAAAUACUUUUAAAGGAAGCCCACAAUAAUAGAAGUAUGCUGAAGAGACCCAGAAGCAAACCAAAAGAGCUCCCAGAAGGCAAGGCCGAAACAAUGUGAGCAACAAAAUGAGGUGUUAUUGUAUUAUAGACAAAGUCUAAAAUCAAUAUCUAUGAUUCACAUUGACACAAAUAAAUGACUGAUAGAUAAAUGGGACACAAAAGACAAUCUUCUGUGCAGAAGAAUUCCAAUUAGCUGUGGAGAUAUUUUUCCUUGAUUUAGGUGGAGCAUAACUGCCCCUCCAUAACCAUAAGUUGUAUAUAGUGACUUCCUUCCAAAAAAGACAGUAUGAAGGAAGGGUAGGGAGGUAGAAUGGUAACUUAACAGUGAAGAGCCUGACAAAACAUGACUUCAGCCAGGUGCUCAAGGUCAAUAUCACAGUGAUGAAUCAUGUUGAUGGCACGUGCCUUUUUAUACUAUCUGAUGAAAAUGACACUUUACCUCUGUGGUCUUUUUCCCGAAACCCGUAACUUCAGUCUAAUCAUGAAAAACAUCAGUCAAACCCAAUUCAGAGAUGUUUUAUGAAAUGCCUGACCAUCACCCUUCACAAGUCUUAAAGCCAUCAGAAACAAGAACAGUCUGAGAAACUGUCACAGCCGAGAGGAGUCUAUGGAGACAUGACGACUCAGUGUAAUGUGGUGACCAGAAUGAAAGGCUGGCACAGAAAAAAACAUUAGAUAAAAACGAAGAAAAUUUGAAUAAACUAUAAAAUUAAAUUCACAGUAGAGUAUCAGUGUUGAUUCAUCAGGAGUAACAAAUGCAAUGUUCUACUGUCACAUACAAUGUUAAGAAAUGGGGAAACUAAAUGAGGGGUAUGUGGGAAUUCUCUGUACUAU